This 491-nucleotide ribosomal RNA is filed under the name uncultured bacterium. RNAcentral's name for it is "partial 16S ribosomal RNA". It matches the Rfam family "Bacterial small subunit ribosomal RNA", at positions 29 to 507 of the family's 1533-position model. The record is from RNAcentral.
AGUGAACGCUGGCGGUAGGCCUAACACAUGCAAGUCGAACGGCAGCACAGUAAGAGCUUGCUCUUACGGGUGGCGAGUGGCGGACGGGUGAGGAAUACAUCGGAAUCUACUUUUUCGUGGGGGAUAACGUAGGGAAACUUACGCUAAUACCGCAUACGACUUACGGGUGAAAGCAGGGGAUCUUCGGACCUUGCGCGAUUGAAUGAGCCGAUGUCGGAUUAGCUAGUUGGCGGGGUAAAGGCCACCAAGGCGACGAUCCGUAGCUGGUCUGAGAGGAUGAUCAGCCACACUGGAACUGAGACACGGUCCAGACUCCUACGGGAGGCAGCAGUGGGGAAUAUUGGACAAUGGGCGCAAGCCUGAUCCAGCCAUACCGCGUGGGUGAAGAAGGCCUUCGGGUUGUAAAGCCCUUUUGUUGGGAAAGAAAAGCAGCAGGUUAAUACCCCGCUGUUCUGACGGUACCCAAAGAAUAAGCACCGGCUAACUUCGUG